This 274-nucleotide ribosomal RNA is filed under the name uncultured bacterium. Its description in RNAcentral is "partial 16S ribosomal RNA". It matches the Rfam family "Bacterial small subunit ribosomal RNA", at positions 523 to 796 of the family's 1533-position model. The record is from RNAcentral.
AUACGGAGGGUGCAAGCGUUAAUCGGAAUUACUGGGCGUAAAGAGUACGUAGGUGGCUUAUUAAGUCAGAUGUGAAAGCCCCGGGCUUAACCUGGGAACUGCAUUUGAUAUUGGCAAACUAGAGUAUGGUAGAGGCGGGUAGAAUUCCUAGUGUAGCGGUGAAAUGCGUAGAUAUUAGGAGGAAUACCAGUGGCGAAGGCGGCCCGCUGGACCAAUACUGACACUGAGGUACGAAAGCGUGGGUAGCGAACAGGAUUAGAUACCCCAGUAGUCC